RNAcentral lists this ribosomal RNA (517 nucleotides) under uncultured bacterium. RNAcentral describes it as "partial 16S ribosomal RNA". It matches the Rfam family "Bacterial small subunit ribosomal RNA", at positions 29 to 523 of the family's 1533-position model. The record is from RNAcentral.
AACGAACGCUGGCGGCGUGGAUAAGACAUGCAAGUCGAACGAGAACUUUCGCUGUAGCAAUACAGUGGAAGUUCUAGUGGCGAACGGGUGCGUAACACGUGGGCAAUCUGCCUUAAAGUGGGGGAUAGCUCGGCGAAAGCCGGAUUAAUACCGCAUGUGAUUACCGGAGACAUCUUCGGAACAUCAAAGUCGGGGCAACCUGACGAUUUUUGAGGUGCCCGCUGCCUAUCCGCUUCUUGGUGAGGUAACGGCUCACCAAGGCGUUGACGGGUAGCUGGUCUGAGAGGACGACCAGUCACACUGGAACUGAGACACGGUCCAGACACCUACGGGUGGCAGCAGUCGAGAAUUUUUCUCAAUGGGGGAAACCCUGAAGGAGCGACGCCGCGUGGAGGAUGAAGGUCUUCGGGUUGUAAACUCCUGUCAUUUGGGAACAAUGCUUACGUAUUAACUGUACGUGAGUUGAUAGUACCAGAAGAGGAAGAGACGGCUAACUCUGUGCCAGCCGCCGCGGUAA